RNAcentral lists this ribosomal RNA (253 nucleotides) under uncultured bacterium. RNAcentral describes it as "partial 16S ribosomal RNA". It matches the Rfam family "Bacterial small subunit ribosomal RNA", at positions 524 to 776 of the family's 1533-position model. The record is from RNAcentral.
GACGGGGGGGGGCAAGUGUUCUUCGGAAUGACUGGGCGUAAAGGGCACGUAGGCGGUGAAUCGGGUUGAAAGUGAAAGUCGCCAAAAAAGUGGCGGAAUGCUCUCGAAACCAAUUCACUUGAGUGAGACAGAGGAGAGUGGAAUUUCGUGUGUAGGGGUGAAAUCCGUAAAUAUACGAAGGAACGCCAAAAGCGAAGGCAGCUCUCUGGGUCCCUACCGACGCUGGGGUGCGGAAGCAUGGGGAGCGAACAGG